This 117-nucleotide ribosomal RNA is filed under the name Danio rerio (zebrafish). Lineage: Eukaryota; Metazoa; Chordata; Actinopteri; Cypriniformes; Danionidae. The record is from RNAcentral.
UGCCACAGCCAUAUUAUUCUGCAGCCCAAGACUGAGUAUUCACUGAAGCUAAGCAGGGCUGAGCCUGGUCAGUACCUGGAUGGGAGACCACAUGGGAAUACUAGGUUGCUGUUGGAA